Molecule: ribosomal RNA, 443 nt
Filed under: uncultured Streptomyces sp.
Lineage: Bacteria; Bacillati; Actinomycetota; Actinomycetes; Kitasatosporales; Streptomycetaceae
Description: bacterial SSU rRNA
Rfam family: Bacterial small subunit ribosomal RNA
Source: RNAcentral
CUACACCGGUGGCGAAGGCGGAUCUCUGCCGAUACUGACGCUGAGGAGCGAAAGCGUGGGCGAACAGGAUUAGAUACCCUGGUAGUCCACGCCGUAAACGGUGGGCACUUGGGCAACAUUCCACGUUGUCCGGCCGCAGCUAACGCAUUAAGUGCCCCGCCUGGGGAGUACGGCCGCAAGGCUAAAACUCAGGAAUUGACGGGGGCCCGCACAAGCGGCGGACAUGUGGCUUAAUUCGACGCAACGCGAAGAACCUUACCGCUUGACAUACACCGGAAAGCAUUAGAGAGUGCCCCCCUUGUGGUCGGUGUACAGGUGGUGUGGCUGUCGUCAGCUCGUGUCGUAAGAUGUUUAAGUCCCGCAACGAGCGCAACCCUUGUCCCGUGUUGCCAGCAACUCUUCGGAGGUUGGGGACUCACGGGAGACCGCCGCAACUCGGAGGA